This 131-nucleotide small nucleolar RNA is filed under the name Microcebus murinus (gray mouse lemur). RNAcentral's name for it is "Small nucleolar RNA SNORA64/SNORA10 family (ENSMICG00000022615.3)". It matches the Rfam family "Small nucleolar RNA SNORA64/SNORA10 family". Rfam says of the family: This family belongs to the H/ACA class of small nucleolar RNAs (snoRNAs) which act as guides in the the modification of uridines to pseudouridines. This family includes the human snoRNAs U64 and ACA10 and mouse MBI-29. Lineage: Eukaryota; Metazoa; Chordata; Mammalia; Primates; Cheirogaleidae. The record is from Rfam by way of RNAcentral.
UCUCUCUCUACUCUGCAAAGUUACAUUCAGCUUCACCUGCAUGACUUUCAUGAUAAGAGACAGAAAAGAUCUCCUGGGGACCUCAGAUUGGCCUUAUAGUGGUUUCUCUUUCCUUGAGGGGUACCACAGGU